CAGUAGCCGCGGUAACACAGAGGGUGCGAGCGUUAAUCGGAUUUACUGGGCGUAAAGCGUGCGUAGGCGGCUUCUUAAGUCGGAUGUGAAAUCCCUGAGCUUAACUUAGGAAUUGCAUUCGAUACUGGGAAGCUAGAGUAUGGGAGAGGAUGGUAGAAUUCCAGGUGUAGCGGUGAAAUGCGUAGAGAUCUGGAGGAAUACCGAUGGCGAAGGCAGCCAUCUGGCCUAAUACUGACGCUGAGGUACGAAAGCAUGGGGAGCAAACAGGAUUAGAUACCCGAGUAGUCCCUGUCUCUUAUAC
Molecule: ribosomal RNA, 301 nt
Filed under: uncultured bacterium
Lineage: Bacteria
Description: partial 16S ribosomal RNA
Rfam family: Bacterial small subunit ribosomal RNA
Source: RNAcentral